RNAcentral lists this long non-coding RNA (2434 nucleotides) under Cinara cedri. The record is from RNAcentral. Lineage: Eukaryota; Metazoa; Arthropoda; Insecta; Hemiptera; Aphididae.
GUCGUCGUAAACGUCUCGGUAAUAUACGAUAAAAAUAUUAUACCGUCCUCGGACGGAUGUUAUUCAAAAACGUCCGUUGAAAUGCUGUCGAAAACGGUUUUCGUUUUGGUUUGUGUUCGAGCGCCGUGUGUGCCACAAACACACACUGCGUGCACCGGAGGCGUCGUUUGAGGAAUUCGGACAACACUUUGGCAGCCCCAUAUUUUUUUUAAAUGUUUUCUCGGCCCGCAUAAAGUGCUAUGACAUUGCGCCGUUGUCGAUAAAAUGUAAAAUCGGUAAAUGGUAAUCGAAUCGCUUCCCGCUUCUACAAGGGUCCGACCGUCUGUGGCGUAUGGCAGUGAAACAACACGGGGGAUUCUCACCACGGUUUAUUAUCAACUGUUAAUUCUUAUCACGGCUAAAUAAACAAGUAAGUUAGCAAGAUAACAGUGCGCGACCGGCGGAGUGAACUAAGGUAUAAUGAGUGAAGUGCACGUGAAAAAAUAUACUACGGUCGUAGUUUAGUAUCGACAUUACUGUAAUGUCAACAAACCUUUAGUAUUUGAAUAUUAAAUUGUAAAGCGGGAAAUGUAAGGUAAAAGGAAACGAAGUGACCGAUUUUCAGAAAAAUUUACCAGAUCCUAAUGUUUGCAACUUUAUUGAAAAACUGAAACGACGUCCCUAAUGUGCACCGAAAACUUGUAGAAAUAUUUUUGUUUACUUAUAUCUUUUCGGCGUUUUCUCAUUUAUAAUGUUUAUCGGUCGUAGAUACCUGUAAGUGUCUUGUACAAUAUAUUACCUGUCGGUAUUCAAACAGGCGAACAAAAAAAAUAAAAAAUAGGUCCGUAUUAUAUUUUUGUAAUCGUGAUUCAAGAAUAAUAACGUAGAGACAGUUAGGAACUAGCGAUAAUUCUAAAUUGUAUAUUAUACCGUUUAAAAAUUGUACUCCGCAACGAGUAAAAACCGAAAAAAAACCGGAAUUAAGUUUUAAAUUAUUCAAAUUAGAUUAAUAAUUAUAUACGCAAUACAAUAUUGUAAAAAUAACGGUGAAAACACGCAGAUUUUUUAAGGUAAAUACAUCGCGUUUAUAGUUUAGAUUUAAUAAUAAUAUAAUUUCGCUUAGUAAGUUAUUGUCCAGUAGUAUCUAAACAAUGUGAAUACUAUACGGUAGUAUAGUUAAAUACGGACAAUUUUUUACGGGUACAGUAAGUAUAAUGUAACAGUAUUUGUCUGUUUUUGUUUUACAGUAGUUUAUUGCAAAAAAUUAAUUACUGUACCGAACGGUUUUAAAUAGUUUAUUUCUCGACCGGGAGGUAUACCGGUAAAUUCAAUGUCUAUAAUAAUUUGUGUACAAAACGCACUGUAUUUACAUUCUAAAAAAGUUUCAGCCCCGAUCUAUUUGCUGCAGUAUAUCGAAUAUGAUAUCGCGGGCAGUACAAUAUUAAUUUUAAUAGUUGGAAUAACAUUGGCGGACGCAAUCGAAAUUCGAGAAGGGUUAAUAAAAAAAGGGAACGCAAUCGGAUAACGCCCGUGUCUACAAUAUCAUCGUUGGCUGAUAUUAAUGAACUUUUAUCACAGAUAGGCGCAUUAUUUAUUAUGUGAUUAUAAUAAUUUUAACAUUGAGUUUGCGUGUUUACAUUGUUGGGAGAGGGCACCUAUUUCUAUCUUUCUCUAAAACGUAUUUAUCAUAUAUAGAGGUGUUUUUUUCAUCGACAUCAAUCGAUUUUUAGUGAUUAUAUUUACAAAAAGCCGAGUGACUUACCUACGUCGUGUUGAGUAUUCGUAAAUUUCUCGAGAGUAAUUGAUGUGCAACGACAAGUCAAGUUCACGUUCCGUAAUAGUUUAGGAAAAUGAAAAAACCGUCUAUCUACGGGACUUGGUAUUAUUUUUUUUUUUUUGCACAGAAUAUGGUCGAACACGCAGACAAGUGUUUAUCGCUAUUUUCCCCGUAUCCAGUAGAGAGAUUUGCAUUAUUGCCGCACCGAUUUAUGCAUUGCUUUACUCGAAUCUAUCAAGAAAUCCUUUUGGACUAAUUGGAUUCGCUUUGUUGUUGCGCCGAGCGCUUCGAGUUUUUCUCGAUCUACUAACGAAUCAUUCUCUCCUGCGCAGACGAUUAUUUGUUCGUUUUAUUAUAAUAAUUUAUCGUUGUAAACGCUUUUGAAUUCCAAGCUAGCAACGGUGGAUUUUCAUAUAGUUUUAACGUGGAUAAUAUUAUCUUUUCUUUUUUUUUUUUUUUCAGAUUUUCCGGUUUUUCAUGUAAAACGAUUCGAACGAAUACGAAAGUCGACUUCUUUGCAUUAUUAUUUUUAAAUUGUAUACACAUUAAAUAAUUGUACUCGUGCAAGUUAACGAUCGCAGUUCCAAAUAAUUCCUCUCUACACAAUACUUUAUAUCGUAUUAUUAUAUUAUUGCUAUUGUAUUAUAUAGCGUCUGUAUAAUAUAAAUAAUUAUAAUA